UGUACAUGUAUAAGCUUCCUGAGUUUAGA
RNAcentral lists this non-coding RNA (29 nucleotides) under Rattus norvegicus (Norway rat). The record is from RNAcentral. Lineage: Eukaryota; Metazoa; Chordata; Mammalia; Rodentia; Muridae.